RNAcentral lists this ribosomal RNA (524 nucleotides) under uncultured bacterium. RNAcentral's name for it is "bacterial SSU rRNA". It matches the Rfam family "Bacterial small subunit ribosomal RNA", at positions 8 to 523 of the family's 1533-position model. The record is from RNAcentral.
AGGGUUUGAUUCUGGCUCAGAUUGAACGCUGGCGGUAUGCUUAACACAUGCAAGUCGAACGGAAACGAUACUAGCUUGCUAGUAGGCGUCGAGUGGCGGACGGGUGAGUAACGCGUAGGAAUCUGCCUGAUAGUGGGGGAUAGCCCGAAGAAAUUCGGAUUAAUACCGCAUAAUCUAUUCGUAGUAAAGUGGGGGACUUUCGAGCCUCACGCUAUCAGAUGAGCCUGCGUAAGAUUAGCUAGUUGGUAGGGUAAAAGCCUACCAAGGCAACGAUCUUUAGCUGGUCUGAGAGGAUGAUCAGCCACAUCGGGACUGAGACGCGGCCCGAACUCCUACGGGAGGCAGCAGUGGGGAAUAUUGGACAAUGGGGGCAACCCUGAUCCAGCAAUACCGCGUGUGUGAAGAAGGCCUGAGGGUUGUAAAGCACUUUCAAUUGUGAAGAAAAGUUAACGGUUAAUAACCGUUAGCCUUGACGUUAACUUUAGAAGAAGCACCGGCUAACUCCGUGCCAGCAGCCGCGGUAA